Molecule: ribosomal RNA, 460 nt
Filed under: uncultured bacterium
Lineage: Bacteria
Description: partial 16S ribosomal RNA
Rfam family: Bacterial small subunit ribosomal RNA
Source: RNAcentral
CCUACGGGUGGCAGCAGUGAGGAAUAUUGGUCAAUGGACGAGAGUCUGAACCAGCCAAGUCGCGUGAAGGAUGACUGCCCUAUGGGUUGUAAACCUCUUUUAUCAAGGAAUAAAACGAGGCACGCGUGCCUUUUUGCAUGUACUUUAUGAAUAAGGAUCGGCUAACUCCGUGCCAGCAGCCGCGGUAAUACGGAGGAUCCGAGCGUUAUCCGGAUUUAUUGGGUUUAAAGGGAGCGUAGAUGGGUUGUUAAGGCCGUUGGGAAAGUUUGCGGCUCAACCGUAAAAUAGCAAUUGAUACUGGGAGUCUUGAGUACAGUUGAGGUAGGCGGAAUGCGUGGUGUAGCGGUGAAAUGCUUAGAUAUCGCGAAGAACCCCGAUUGCGAAGGCAGCUUACUAAGCUGUGACUGACAUUGAUGCACGAAAGUGUGGGUAUCGAACAGGAUUAGAUACCCCUGUAGUC